Molecule: ribosomal RNA, 897 nt
Filed under: uncultured organism
Description: SSU rRNA
Rfam family: Bacterial small subunit ribosomal RNA
Source: RNAcentral
GUGCCAGCMMGCCGCGGUAAUACGUAGGGUGCGAGCGUUGUCCGGAAUUACUGGGCGUAAAGAGCUCGUAGGUGGUUUGUCGCGUUGUUCGUGAAAUCUCACGGCUUAACUGUGAGCGUGCGGGCGAUACGGGCAGACUAGAGUACUGCAGGGGAGACUGGAAUUCCUGGUGUAGCGGUGGAAUGCGCAGAUAUCAGGAGGAACACCGGUGGCGAAGGCGGGUCUCUGGGCAGUAACUGACGCUGAGGAGCGAAACKKGGGGAGCGAACAGGAUUAGAUACCCUGGUAGUCCACGCCGUAAACGGUGGGUACUAGGUGUGGGUUUCCUUCCUUGGGAUCCGUGCCGUAGCUAACGCAUUAAGUACCCCGCCUGGGGAGUACGGCCGCAAGGCUAAAAACUCAAAGGAAUUGACGGGGGCCCGCACAAGCGGCGGAGCAUGUGGAUUAAUUCGAUGCAACGCGAAGAACCUUACCUGGGUUUGACAUGCACAGGACGCGUCUAGAGAUAGGCGUUCCCUUGUGGCCUGUGUGCAGGUGGUGCAUGGCUGUCGUCAGCUCGUGUCGUGAGAUGUUGGGUUAAGUCCCGCAACGAGCGCAACCCUUGUCUCAUGUUGCCAGCGGGUAAUGCCGGGGACUCGUGAGAGACUGCCGGGGUCAACUCGGAGGAAGGUGGGGAUGACGUCAAGUCAUCAUGCCCCUUAUGUCCAGGGCUUCACACAUGCUACAAUGGCCGGUACAAAGGGCUGCGAUGCCGUAAGGUUAAGCGAAUCCUUUUAAAGCCGGUCUCAGUUCGGAUUGGGGUCUGCAACUCGACCCCAUGAAGUCGGAGUCGCUAGUAAUCGCAGAUCAGCAACGCUGCGGUGAAUACGUUCCCGGGCCUUGCACACACCGCCCGUC